GACGAACGCUGGCGGCGUGCCUAAUACAUGCAAGUUGAGCGCUGAAGGUUGGUACUUGUACCAACUGGAUGAGCAGCGAACGGGUGAGUAACGCGUGGGGAAUCUGCCUUUGAGCGGGGGACAACAUUUGGAAACGAAUGCUAAUACCGCAUAAAAACUUUAAACACAAGUUUUAAGUUUGAAAGAUGCAAUUGCAUCACUCAAAGAUGAUCCCGCGUUGUAUUAGCUAGUUGGUGAGGUAAAGGCUCACCAAGGCGAUGAUACAUAGCCGACCUGAGAGGGUGGUCGGCCACAUUGGGACUGAGACACGGCCCCAACUCCUACGGGAGGCAGCCGUAGGGAAUCUUCGGCAAUGGACGAAAGUCUGACCGAGCAACGCCGCGUGAGUGAAGAAGGUUUUCGGAUCGUAAAACUCUGUUGGUAGAGAAGACCGUUGGUGAGAGUGGAAAGCUCAUCAAGUGACGGUAACUACGCAGAAAGGGACGGCUAACUACGUG
RNAcentral lists this ribosomal RNA (497 nucleotides) under uncultured bacterium. Its description in RNAcentral is "partial 16S ribosomal RNA". It matches the Rfam family "Bacterial small subunit ribosomal RNA", at positions 28 to 507 of the family's 1533-position model. The record is from RNAcentral.